UGAGGAAUAUUGGACAAUGGGCGCAAGCCUGAUCCAGCCAUGCCGCGUGCAGGAUGACGGUCCUAUGGAUUGUAAACUGCUUUUGUACAGGAAGAAACAGUUCUACGUGUAGAACCUUGACGGUACUGUAAGAAUAAGGAUCGGCUAACUCCGUGCCAGCAGCCGCGGUAAUACGGAGGAUCCAAGCGUUAUCCGGAAUCAUUGGGUUUAAAGGGUCCGUAGGCGGUUAGAUAAGUCAGUGGUGAAAGCCCAUCGCUCAACGGUGGAACGGCCAUUGAUACUGUCUGACUUGAAUUAUUAGGAAGUAACUAGAAUAUGUAGUGUAGCGGUGAAAUGCUUAGAGAUUACAUGGAAUACCAAUUGCGAAGGCAGGUUACUACUAAUGGAUUGACGCUGAUGGACGAAAGCGUGGGUAGCGAACAGGAUUAGAUACCCCAGUAGUCCCUGAG
This 449-nucleotide ribosomal RNA is filed under the name uncultured bacterium. RNAcentral describes it as "bacterial SSU rRNA". It matches the Rfam family "Bacterial small subunit ribosomal RNA", at positions 355 to 801 of the family's 1533-position model. The record is from RNAcentral.